GAUGAACGCUGGUGGCGUGCCUAAUACAUGCAAGUCGAGCGGACGGACGAGAAGCUUGCUUCUCUGAUGUUAGCGGCGGACGGGUGAGUAACACGUGGAUAACCUACCUAUAAGACUGGGAUAACUUCGGGAAACCGUAGCUAAUACCGGAUAAUAUUUUGAACCGCAUGGUUCAAAAGUGAAAGACGGUCUUGCUGUCACUUAUAGAUGGAUCCGCGCUGCAUUAGCUAGUUGGUAAGGUAACGGCUUACCAAGGCAACGAUGCAUAGCCGACCUGAGAGGGUGAUCGGCCACACUGGAACUGAGACACGGUCCAGACUCCUACGGGAGGCAGCAGUAGGGAAUCUUCCGCAAUGGGCGAAAGCCUGACGGAGCAACGCCGCGUGAGUGAUGAAGGUCUUCGGAUCGUAAAACUCUGUUAUUAGGGAAGAACAUAUGUGUAAGUAACUGUGCACAUCUUGACGGUACCUAAUCAGAAAGCCACGGCUAACUACGUG
RNAcentral lists this ribosomal RNA (497 nucleotides) under uncultured bacterium. Its description in RNAcentral is "partial 16S ribosomal RNA". It matches the Rfam family "Bacterial small subunit ribosomal RNA", at positions 28 to 507 of the family's 1533-position model. The record is from RNAcentral.